GAUGAACGCUGGCGGCGUGCUUAACACAUGCAAGUCGAACGGGGAUUGAUUUAUUGAAACUUCGGUGGAUUUAGAUUAAUCCUAGUGGCGGACGGGUGAGUAACGCGUGGGUAACCUGCCUUAUACAGGGGGAUAACAGCCGGAAACGGCUGCUAAUACCGCAUAAGCGCACAGAAGCGCAUGCUUCAGUGUGAAAAACUCCGGUGGUAUAAGAUGGACCCGCGUUGGAUUAGCUAGUUGGCAGGGCAGCGGCCUACCAAGGCGACGAUCCAUAGCCGGCCUGAGAGGGUGAAC
Molecule: ribosomal RNA, 294 nt
Filed under: uncultured bacterium
Lineage: Bacteria
Description: partial 16S ribosomal RNA
Rfam family: Bacterial small subunit ribosomal RNA
Source: RNAcentral